Molecule: unclassified non-coding RNA, 770 nt
Filed under: Hevea brasiliensis (rubber tree)
Lineage: Eukaryota; Viridiplantae; Streptophyta; Magnoliopsida; Malpighiales; Euphorbiaceae
Source: RNAcentral
GGUUCAUAUCUGGAUCAAGAAUGAUGGCAGAUGAUGUGAUGCAUCUGUGUAUCACCUGUUCAUCCCAUUCCUCAUGUAGAUAGCGAAUCGCAGAGGCAAGUGAUUUGACAAUGUUAUACCGAUGACGCCAUCUAAGAGUACUGGAGGCAUUGUCCCUAUGAUGAUUCUGAUGGAAAAGGAGGUGACUUAAAAGGCUACUCUGAGAGUAAUCAUAAAUGACAAGCAUUUCACCUUGCUCGGUGCACCAUCCGCGGAGUUGCACCAGGUUUCUGUGGCGUAAUCGUCCUAAGUUCUGAAGUUCAUUCGAGAACCUCACUCUUAAAGCUGGACAAGUUUUCAUUCCUAGCCUUUUCACUAAGACAUGCUGGUUGUUUUCAAGAAAACCAUGGUAAGCAGUACCAAAGUCAAUCUCAGCAACUCUUCUUGAAUCCGAAAAAUUGUUCGUGGCAGCAAUGAUCUCUUUGAAUGUGAUCUCCCUAGCAGUUUCAACCAUCAGGAAAUUACUCGAUUGACGCCUACUGCUGCAAUUUCCAGACUCAUUAUUGCUGCUGGUGCUUCCACUUUCAGCACUUAGAUACAUGGUAUCUCCUGUGGCUGUGAUGAACAUUGUUGAGUUGAAACCAGGCGUCGUGCUCGUGCUGGUUGUGGCAGUGGACCUAGAGGUGAUUGUGUUGCUAGUUGUACUAUUGCUUGGUGAUGACAAAGAUAUAUAAAGAGGAUGGGACUUAAAACAAGGAAGAUCAGGUAAUUUACCAUAAAUAUGACCAGAU